AGCUUUGCACAGUNGCAGUAUUAUAGCCAAUGAGGUUUACCUGAGGCGUGAUUUAUUGCUAAUUGAAACAUUUUCCCAAUACCCCACCAUGUCAAUUUGACAUAUGGUCGGCAAAAUUUAAAAUAAAAUAAA
RNAcentral lists this small nuclear RNA (132 nucleotides) under Salvator merianae (Argentine black and white tegu). Its description in RNAcentral is "U4 spliceosomal RNA (ENSSMRG00000010579.1)". It matches the Rfam family "U4 spliceosomal RNA". Rfam says of the family: U4 small nuclear RNA (U4 snRNA) is a component of the major U2-dependent spliceosome. The structure of U4 snRNA from yeast and human has been reported. Lineage: Eukaryota; Metazoa; Chordata; Lepidosauria; Squamata; Teiidae. The record is from RNAcentral.